This 512-nucleotide ribosomal RNA is filed under the name uncultured bacterium. RNAcentral's name for it is "partial 16S ribosomal RNA". It matches the Rfam family "Bacterial small subunit ribosomal RNA", at positions 28 to 507 of the family's 1533-position model. The record is from RNAcentral.
GAUGAACGCUGGCGGCGUGCCUAAUACAUGCAAGUCGAACGAAACUUCUUUAUCACCGAGUGCUUGCACUCACCGAUAAAGAGUUGAGUGGCGAACGGGUGAGUAACACGUGGGCAACCUGCCCAAAAGAGGGGGAUAACACUUGGAAACAGGUGCUAAUACCGCAUAACCAUAGUUACCGCAUGGUAACUAUGUAAAAGGUGGCUAUACUACCGCUUUUGGAUGGGCCAGCGGCGCAUUAGCUAGUUGGUAGGGUAAAGGCUUACCAAGGCAAUGAUGCGUAGCCGAAUUGAGAGGUUGAUCGGCCACAUUGGGACUGAGACACGGCCCAAACUCCUACGGGAGGCAGCAGUAGGGAAUCUUCCACAAUGGGCGAAAGCCUGAUGGAGCAACGCCGCGUGGGUGAAGAAGGUCUUCGGAUCGUAAAACCCUGUUGUUAGAGAAGAAAGUGCGUGAGAGUAACUGUUCACGUUUCGACGGUAUCUAACCAGAAAGCCACGGCUAACUACGUG